UAACGAAAAUAGUGUGUAGCGA
This 22-nucleotide microRNA is filed under the name Ananas comosus (pineapple). Its description in RNAcentral is "microRNA s0292_c100". The record is from RNAcentral. Lineage: Eukaryota; Viridiplantae; Streptophyta; Magnoliopsida; Poales; Bromeliaceae.